UGUCCGUAUGUCCACCUUAGUAGAAUGAAACAAAAAAGAAAAAGAAGAAGCAAGUCUUGAUGCUGGUUGUAAACGCUUGUUUCAUUGCGUCUCGGUUGGUGGCAGAGUGGUUAAAGCAGAGAGCGAGAAAAAAAUAUGAUAAAUUAGUGCAGCAAAAAGUAUAUCUGUGAAAUAUAUUCACGAAAAGGGGCUGGCUGUGAUAUUUGGAGGAAAUUUGAAUAGGAAAGUGUACACCUUUAUCGCUGGUCGGUUUGCAACUGUAUAUUCGUUUGUCCUUUUUUGUAUAUAAUAAUUCAUGCAGUUCAUAGUUCAUGUAGAUCGAGCAGUUUCUAACGUCGAGUAGUUUAUAACCUAAUCUUAGUUUCCUAACGCUUUGUUUUAUGCAAUUCAAAUUUAUGUUCGAAAAUAAUUAUUCUAAUUCCAACAUUCCCGGCCACCAAAGAAGAACUUCUUUAAAUUUCAUGCAAAAUAUAAAUCCAAAAAUGAGUUCAAAAAAGAAUUCAAAAACAGUUCGACUCUUGAACCUGACGCUUAUCUCCUAUCAUACUGCUCGUGUGUGUAGAUGUGUGAAUGUGUGUUGCGUGUAUAUUGUUCUGCCAUGAGUGCGAAAUGUAAACAAUGUCGCGUGGCUUGCAGCUGCGCGUUACUCAGUGCCAGUGGUUUCCUUCUGCUCUAAGUUGCUAAUUACGUCCGGAUUAGGCAAAACUGCCAGACGAUUAGCUGCGCGGACGAUUUGCUUCCCUGAAGCAGUGCGCAGUGUAACGACGCGAACAACAUCGUCCUUUCCAGGGUGUACUGCAACGAUGCGCCCCAUCGGCCACGAGGUAGGAUGUACAUUGUCUUCCUUAAUAAUCACCAGUGUAUUUUCUUUCAGAACCGCUGAUUUCCCGUUGCAAUAUUUGGCUCGAGCUUGUAACUGCUGCAGGUACUCCGGAUACCAUCGAGCCCAAAAGGUUUGCAGAUGUUUUUGUACCAACUGGUAUUCCCUCAAAUAGUUGCUCGGUGUCUCGGUGUAAUCGAUGAUUGGUACCGCUUGCAGAUUGCCACCGACGAGGAAGUGUCCCGGUGUCAAUGGUUCCAAGUCCGACGGCUCAUCGGAUAGAGGUGUAAUUGGUCGCGAAUUCAAACAUUGCUCUACCUGGGCAAGUAGGCUGCCUUCACCGCCGCCUCCCAUAAACCUCCAAAAUGUGGUGCUCUUGGUGGGAUAAACUUCCACUUCAUAUGAUUCAUCGCGCACCAAUCAAAUAUAGCAGCUCGAUCGUGUUCGUCGCUCUUUAGCAUCUUGUAGACGCGAUUCAGCUCAUGUGCCGCUCCCUUAAAGGUGGUUGCAUUGUCGGAAUGCAGUUCACUGAUUUGACCACGACGUGCAAUCAAACGACGAAGUGCAUUGAUAAAUGCUGUUGAUGUUAAAUCGCCAACCAGUUCGAUAUGUACCGCUCUUGUUGAAAAACAUACAAAUAUGGCGAUGUAUGCUUUAAUCGGACUUCUGUUGCGUAUGGUUUGUUUUAUAUAGAUUGGUCCGCAAUAGUCUACUCCGCAUACUGAGAAUGGUCUUGUUGGUGUGACUCGUGAUGUUGGCAAAUCGGCGAUACUUUGCUUAAUAAGUGUGGGUUUGGCCUUAAAACAUGCGUGGCAACUGUGGUACACAGACUUGCAUAAAUUGCGACCGCCAAUUAUCCAAAAGCUUUGGCGUAGUGUUGUUAAAAGCAGUUGUGGUGCAGCAUGCAGCUUACUCAAGUGUAUCGAAACAGCUAGUAGUGCGGACAGUGGAUGUUUCGAUGAUAAUAUUACCGGGUGUUUUUCUGAUUCCGACAGAUGUGCGUUACUGAGCCGGCCACCAAUGCGCAGAAUACCUUGCGUAUCUAUGAAAGGGGAAAUCCAUUUCAGUUUGGAGUUCUUCGGAAUCUCUUUGCCCUUCUGCAGGUGUUGUAUCUCCUCGGAAAAGGUGUCUUGUUGCGAAAGAUAACACAACUUGAGUUCUGCCGCCUUGAGUUCGUCUACAGUGAGCGGUGGGAUAUCCUUAGCAUGGACCUUGUUUCCUACGCGGCGCUUUGCGUUUUGUAUAAAGCGCAAACAAUGUGCAACAACUCUUUGCAGUUUGUGGUAGAUCGAAAAUCGUGAGAACAAACUGUUUCGAAAUUCGCAGAUUAAUGCUGUGCUUGCAACCCGUGACGAUAGUUUUUCUUCUUCUGCGCUCUCAUCUUCGCUUGGUGAUGGUGUGUUCUGUGGCCAUUCUUCCGAGUUGCGUGCUAACCAAUGUGGCCCGUGCCACCAGCGCUCACACACUAGCAACUUUUCCGGCGUUAAACCUCGCGAAAUGUCGUCUGCUGGAUUGUCCGAGCCUGGAACAUGCUUCCAGCAUUGUAUUCCAGCCGUGUGCUGAAUUUUUGCAACCCUGUUUGCAACGAAGGGCUUCCAUCGAUUUGGUGCUGAAUUCAGCCAGUGAAGGACAGUCAUGGAAUCGGUCCAACAGAUGGUGGUAGCAGAAAUUUUCAGUGAUUGCUGGACUUUCUCGUAAAGAAGUGUGGCUAGUCGUGCUGCACAUAAUUCCAAUCGAGCUAUGGAAUGUGAAUUGGAUAACGCAACGACCUUUGACUUGGCUGUUAGCAGCUGCACGGUGACUCCUUCCAUGCUUUCAGCCCGAAUGUAGCAACAAGCACCAUAUGCUAGUUGUGAUGCGUCAGCAAAGAUAUGAAUUUGCAGACUUGUUGCCGUGCAUUGCGAUAUGUACCGUGGGACUGUCAAAUUGCGUAGUGAAGAUAAUGUAGAGUGAAAUUUCGACCAUUCAUGCUGUAAGUGCGAUGGUAGCUCGCUGUCCCAGUCAUAUGCCUUUCCAUGAAUCUUGAGAGCCCAUAGUUGCUGCAUGAACAUCUUUGCGAUGAUGAUCGUUGGGCCCAGUAGCCCGAGGGGAUCAAAUAUCUUGGCGAUAUAUGACAAAAUUAACCUUUUCGUCAUGCUGGGUGUUGUAGGUGGUAUCUCAAUACGAAACCGUAGUGUAUCAGUUGCCGGUUCCCAAACGAUGCCUAGUGUGGAUACUUGUUUCGAGCUCUUCCACUCGUGCGAGAGUUGUACCGCCACAUCUUCUGAAGGAACGUUCUUCAAUGCUUCGGAGCGGUUCGAUGCCCAUUUCUUCAGCGUGAAACCAGCUGAAUUUAGCAUGUCUGAGAUUUGCCUUUGUAUAACGAUUGCUUCGGACAAAUCAUCGGUACCCGUUAGCAAAUCAUCUACGUAAAAAUCGUUCAUGACCGCGUUCAUUGCCAAAGGAUACUCUUCCUUGUGGUCAAGAGCAAUCUGUUUGAGGGUCCUGGUUGCCAAAAAUGGAGCAGAGGCUGUGCCGUACGUAACCGUCUGUAGCUCAAAGGUCGAUAUAGGAUCUGCAGGAUGUUCUCUGUACCGGAUGCGUAGAUAGUUACGAUCAUGAGGGCUAUGUAAAAUUUGCCGAUACAUCUUCUCUACGUCUGCAGUGAGAGCAAUGGCACGAGAACGAAACCGAAGGAUAAUCGAUAAAAGAUCUUCUUGAACGACUGGUCCCACUAAGAGUUUAUCGUUCAAUGAGUAACCACUCGAAGUCUUACAGGAUGCAUCGAACACGACACGCACCUUCGUGGUUGUGCUUGACUCUUUAACGACAGCGUGAUGUGGGAGGUAGUAAUGCUCUACCGAAUCGUUUGCAGGACUGCAUUGGUGUUCAACCGCCGUUCGAUAGAACGCAGUCUGCGAUCGGCUAUUUCCUUCGACUCUCCUAAAACGAUAUUAGGGUUGGAGUU
Molecule: long non-coding RNA, 3767 nt
Organism: Anopheles coluzzii
Lineage: Eukaryota; Metazoa; Arthropoda; Insecta; Diptera; Culicidae
Exons: 3
Source: RefSeq, a predicted model, not a curated record